This 600-nucleotide ribosomal RNA is filed under the name uncultured archaeon. RNAcentral's name for it is "bacterial SSU rRNA". It matches the Rfam family "Archaeal small subunit ribosomal RNA", at positions 85 to 688 of the family's 1478-position model. The record is from RNAcentral.
ACGGCUCAUUAACACGUGGUUAACAUACCCUCAGGUGGGGGAUAACCUUGGGAAACUGAGGAUAAUACCCCAUAGAAAAAGCAGUCUGGAACGAUUCUUUUUCGAAAGCAUAUGCGCCUGAGGAUUGGACUGCGCUCGAUUAGGUAGUUGGUGGGGUAAUGGCCCACCAAGCCUACGAUCGGUACGGGCCUUGAGAGAGGAAGCCCGGAGACGGGGACUGAGACACGGCCCCAGGCCCUACGGGGCGCAGCAGGCGCGAAACCUCCGCAAUGCACGAAAGUGCGACGGGGGGAUCCCAAGUGCUCAUGCACAGCAUGGGCUUUUAUCAAGUGUAAACAGCUUGAGGAAUAAGGGCUGGGCAAGUUCGGUGCCAGCAGCCGCGGUAACACCGACGGCCCGAGUGGUGGCCACUUUUAUUGGGCCUAAAGCGUCCGUAGCCGGUCCAGUAAGUCCUUGUUUAAAUCCUGCGGCUUAACCGCAGGACUGGCAGGGAUACUGCUGGACUUGGGACCGGGAGAGGACAAGGGUACUUCAGGGGUAGCGGUGAAAUGUGUUGAUCCUUGAAGGACCACCUAUGGCGAAGGCACUUGUCUGGAACGG